Molecule: small RNA, 271 nt
Filed under: synthetic construct
Source: RNAcentral
GGACCGAGAAGUUACCCAAAACCUCAGCUGAUCACUUUGUGAACCUGAAGUAUCUGGAAGCUCGCGAGAGCAAAUUAGUUCGGUCUUGAAUUCCAUGUGAAUUCUGUCUAUUUAACCUCUAUAUCAGUCGAGAUGGAAACGCGGUGGCUAGGUUGCGCGUUUCCAAUUAAUUGGCACCGGAUUUCCAGUAGGGAGAUCUGGGGGUACUGAACGCCAUAGUAGAGACAAUAGGCCACCAUCGGCGAUGAGACGUAACGCACAUCGCAGCAAC